Molecule: ribosomal RNA, 403 nt
Filed under: uncultured beta proteobacterium
Lineage: Bacteria; Pseudomonadati; Pseudomonadota; Betaproteobacteria
Description: bacterial SSU rRNA
Rfam family: Bacterial small subunit ribosomal RNA
Source: RNAcentral
GAGUUUGAUCAUGGCUCAGAUUGAACGCUGGCGGAAUGCUUUACACAUGCAAGUCGAGCGGCAGCGCGGGGCAACCUGGCGGCGAGCGGCGAACGGGUGAGUAAUGCAUCGGAACAUGUCCUGUCGUGGGGGAUAGCCCGGCGAAAGCCGGAUUAAUACCGCAUACGUCCGAGAGGAGAAAGUGGGGGACCGAAAGGCCUCACGCGAUUGGGUUGGCCGAUGUCCGAUUAGCUAGUUGGCGGGGUAAGAGCCCACCAAGGCGAUGAUCGGUAGCUGGUCUGAGAGGAUGAUCAGCCACACUGGGACUGAGACACGGCCCAGACUCCUACGGGAGGCAGCAGUGGGGAAUUUUGGACAAUGGGGGCAACCCUGAUCCAGCCAUUCCGCGUGAGUGAAGAAGGCC